GAAAGGAAUGGCUGAGAGGCAGUUGGAGCAUGAGCACGAGGGCUGCUUCUGUUGCCGGGCACGGAGUGAGAACACACAAGGGUCCACAGAACAAGGUGUGUGGUGUGGUAACUACGGCUUAGGGGACCACGCGGAGAGGGCAGCUAAAAGGGAGAGGGCAGCUUGCGGACCAUGUGGCAAAGUAGCAGCCAGAGUGAGCAGAUCCGGCUAGAGGAAUCGGAUAGAAAACAUUUCUUUUUAAUCUUACUUACUGUCACACACAUGGAUGUCAGCUCUCGCUGGAAGUUGAGCGGAAGCUGUGCUGACUCCUUCUUGCCGCAGUAGGUUCAAGUCCAGAGAGUGGCCAAGACACUGUUGGUUCCCUUGAACGUCACUGCUCUCCCAUAGCUUUCUGCUAGGAGGGCAAAAUACCCGAGAUAACCAACUUCAAAAGAGGAACAGCUCACUUCUCUGCAGGUUUCAGCCUGCGGUAGUGCUAUUAAAGGGCCCAGCUGUUAAAGCCAGCACCUCAGUGAUGUCAUCCGCGCAUGGCCAAGCCUUCAGCACAGCAGACUUGGAAAGGGUCGAUGACCUAAACCACGGAGCCAUUCACAACAGCUCGCCAUGUCUUCUGUGUUUGGCUAUUAAGGUGUCUGCUUGCUCCCUCAGACCUUAGCGAAGACGAGUUCUUAAAACGUGGAACCAUGGAAGACCUGGGCUUACAUUUUUUCCCCCACAUUAAAGAAAGCUUACUUGUUAGCA
Molecule: small RNA, 741 nt
Filed under: Rattus norvegicus (Norway rat)
Lineage: Eukaryota; Metazoa; Chordata; Mammalia; Rodentia; Muridae
Description: uncharacterized LOC102548918
Source: RNAcentral